This 253-nucleotide ribosomal RNA is filed under the name uncultured bacterium. Its description in RNAcentral is "partial 16S ribosomal RNA". It matches the Rfam family "Bacterial small subunit ribosomal RNA", at positions 524 to 776 of the family's 1533-position model. The record is from RNAcentral.
UACGAAGGGGGCUAGCGUUGCUCGGAAUUACUGGGCGUAAAGGGCGCGUAGGCGGACAGUUUAGUCAGAGGUGAAAGCCCAGGGCUCAACCUUGGAAUUGCCUUUGAUACUGGCUGUCUUGAGUUCGGGAGAGGUGAGUGGAAUGCCGAGUGUAGAGGUGAAAUUCGUAGAUAUUCGCAAGAACACCAGUGGCGAAGGCGGCUGACUGGUCCGGUUCUGACGCUGAGGCGCGAAAGCGUGGGGAGCAAACAGG